GAGAGAGGUAUGUUGAGAUGCCUGUGUUAACAGCCAUGAUCACACACAAGUUUUUGAUUCAAGUUUAUGGGAACCUGACGAUCCAAUGCAUGGAACUGAGGAUGGAUAGAGGAGAUGCAAACUGGUAAAGGUGAAAGAAUCAGCGGCGCAGCAUGGCCAGUGCAAGGCGGAAAUGGAGGAGACUAACUUUUGGCCAUGGUAGACAGGCUUAUCUAGGUUGAGUUUACAAUUAUUAUUGUUUCUAAUAAUGCCAAUAGAAACUGGUUUGUACAGGGAACAACAAUGUAUUAUAUCUGCCAGUGUAAAUAAAUUUAUGAAAAAUGACAUGACAAUCGAUUAAAAAACUGGCUUGAAUACAUUGUGAUGUGAUUAUGAUGAAUUGUUGUGAAUUAAAUCA
Panicum virgatum (switchgrass) is the source of this 397-nucleotide long non-coding RNA. RefSeq lists it as uncharacterized. The record is from RefSeq and is a predicted model, not a curated record. Lineage: Eukaryota; Viridiplantae; Streptophyta; Magnoliopsida; Poales; Poaceae. The transcript is spliced from 2 exons.